Non-coding RNA from Citreicella sp. SE45, 49 nucleotides. NCBI's taxonomy places the organism in Bacteria, Pseudomonadati, Pseudomonadota, Alphaproteobacteria, Rhodobacterales, Roseobacteraceae. The record is from Rfam.
UUACCGUCACAACGGCUUCCUGGCGUGAUGGCUCGGUAUUAAUGGAGCG